This is a long non-coding RNA of Hippopotamus amphibius kiboko, 411 nucleotides long. RefSeq lists it as uncharacterized. Lineage: Eukaryota; Metazoa; Chordata; Mammalia; Artiodactyla; Hippopotamidae. The transcript has 3 exons. The record is from RefSeq and is a predicted model, not a curated record.
GGGAUGCACACAGUCCCCGGACAGCAGGUUCUCACAGGCCCAGCAGCAGAGGAAGAUGGGAUCCGCCACAUGCGGAGAUGGCGGGAGCAGGCUGCCAUGACAACACAGCACGACCCUGAGCUCCACAAGGACAAGCACAGACCAUGAAACCCUCUGUGUGUGAAGAUGCUCCAUGAGAAGAUGAGGAAGAAACAGCUGCAGAUGGAAACACCUGAUCUUGAAUUUCAACAGGAACUUGAGAAUCAAAAGAGAAAGCGGGAAGAACUAACACCCAGAGGCUGGAGUGACUUGCUGGGGACGGUCCGGUCUCGCCACCCAGGAGCUCACAGAUGCACUGGGGAGUUGGUACCGCUGGACACAGACAACAAGAGCAAGCCACAUGUUUAUUUCAUUAUCUACUUAAUUACACUU